AUCGAUGAAGAACGCAGCGAAAUGCGAUAAGUAAUGUGAAUUGCAGAAUUCAGUGAAUCAUCGAAUCUUUGAACGCACAUUGCGCUCCCUGGUAUUCCGGGGAGCAUGCCUGUUCGAGCGUCAUUACAACCCUCAAGCUCUGCUUGGUGUUGGGCCCCGCCGCCCCGGCGGGCCCUAAAGUCAGUGGCGGUGCCGUCCGGCUCCGAGCGUAGUAAUUUUUCUCGCUUUGGAGGCCCGGGCGCGUGCUCGCCAUCAACCCCCAAUUUUUUUCAGGUUGACCUCGGAUCAGGUAGGGAUACCCGCUGAACUUAAGCAUAUCAAUAAGCGGAGGAAAAGAAACCAACAGGGAUUACCUCAGUAACGGCGAGUGAAGCGGUAACAGCUCAAAUUUGAAAUCUGGCCUCACGGUCCGAGUUGUAAUUUGUAGAGGAUGCUUCGAGCAUGGUCUGGCCUAAGUUCCUUGGAACAGGACGUCAUAGAGGGUGAGAAUCCCGUAUGCGGUCAGGUGCCUACGCUCAUGUGAAGCUCCUUCGACGAGUCGAGUUGUUUGGGAAUGCAGCUCAAAAUGGGUGGUAAAUUUCAUCUAAAGCUAAAUAUUGGCCAGAGACCGAUAGCGCACAAGUAGAGUGAUCGAAAGAUGAAAAGCACUUUGGAAAGAGAGUUAAACAGUACGUGAAAUUGUUGAAAGGGAAGCGCUUGCAACCAGACUUGCGCGCGGCCGAUCAUCCGGUGUUCUCACCGGUGCACUCGGCCGUGCUCAGGCCAGCAUCGGUUUUGGCGGCUGGAUAAAGGCCCCAGGAAUGUGGCUCCUCUCGGGGAGUGUUAUAGCCUGGGGUGCAAUGCAGCCUGCUGGGACCGAGGACCGCGCUUCGGCUAGGAUGCUGGCGUAAUGGUUGUAAGCGGCCCGUCNNGAAACACG
RNAcentral lists this ribosomal RNA (919 nucleotides) under uncultured Ascomycota. RNAcentral describes it as "eukaryotic LSU rRNA". The stretch from base 276 to 919 matches the Rfam family "Eukaryotic large subunit ribosomal RNA", at positions 1 to 663 of the family's 3401-position model. Lineage: Eukaryota; Fungi; Ascomycota. The record is from RNAcentral.